RNAcentral lists this ribosomal RNA (252 nucleotides) under uncultured bacterium. Its description in RNAcentral is "partial 16S ribosomal RNA". It matches the Rfam family "Bacterial small subunit ribosomal RNA", at positions 524 to 776 of the family's 1533-position model. The record is from RNAcentral.
UACGGAGGAUGCGAGCGUUAUCCGGAUUUAUUGGGUUUAAAGGGUGCGUAGGCGGACGCUUAAGUCAGCGGUAAAAUUGCGGGGCUCAACCUCGUCGAGCCGUUGAAACUGGGUGUCUUGAGUGGGCGAGAAGUACGCGGAAUGCGUGGUAUAGCGGUGAAAUGCAUAGAUAUCACGCAGAACUCCGAUUGCGAAGGCAGCGUACCGGCGCCCAACUGACGCUGAAGCACGAAGGCGUGGGUAUCGAACAGG